This 31-nucleotide non-coding RNA is filed under the name Homo sapiens (human). Lineage: Eukaryota; Metazoa; Chordata; Mammalia; Primates; Hominidae. The record is from RNAcentral.
UGCGUGCAAUGCGUCUGUGCACUUGAGUGCU